Molecule: ribosomal RNA, 497 nt
Filed under: uncultured bacterium
Lineage: Bacteria
Description: partial 16S ribosomal RNA
Rfam family: Bacterial small subunit ribosomal RNA
Source: RNAcentral
GAUGAACGCUGGCGGCGUGCCUAAUACAUGCAAGUCGAGCGAACAGACGAGGAGCUUGCUCCUCUGACGUUAGCGGCGGACGGGUGAGUAACGCGUGGAUAACCUACCUAUAAGACUGGGAUAACUUCGGGAAACCGGAGCUAAUACCGGAUAAUAUAUUGAACCGCAUGGUUCAAUAGUGAAAGACGGUUUUGCUGUCACUUAUAGAUGGAUCCGCGCCGCAUUAGCUAGUUGGUAAGGUAACGGCUUACCAAGGCGACGAUGCGUAGCCGACCUGAGAGGGUGAUCGGCCACACUGGAACUGAGACACGGUCCAGACUCCUACGGGAGGCAGCAGUAGGGAAUCUUCCGCAAAGGGCGAAAGCCUGACGGAGCAACGCCGCGUGAGUGAUGAAGGUCUUCGGAUCGUAAAACUCUGUUAUUAGGGAAGAACAAAUGUGUAAGUAACUAUGCACGUCUUGACGGUACCUAAUCAGAAAGCCACGGCUAACUACGUG